Molecule: RNA transcript, 4464 nt
Organism: Ziziphus jujuba (common jujube)
Lineage: Eukaryota; Viridiplantae; Streptophyta; Magnoliopsida; Rosales; Rhamnaceae
Gene name: lysine-specific demethylase JMJ25
Exons: 12
Source: RefSeq, a predicted model, not a curated record
CGAACUCUCUCUUUGUCUCUCUAUUUCCCACUCAAAACACUAUUUCUGUGUUUCUUCUGGGGCAAGCUAAUGCUUCUCCACUCAUGGCUAAGAGGGGUAGAAAGCGGCAGCGAAAAGCAGCCACAAUGUGCGAUGCUACUGGAGACAAAGACAAAGCUCCAGAAACCGAUCAGAUAUGUCUAGAUGGUUUCCCAGAAAAUUUUCCUUCCGAGGAGAAUGAUGGGGUUUCUGCGCAGAAAGUGCGAGAAUUUGUUGGAAUAGAAGAGGAAGUUUUAGAAACUGGCCAGAAAGCUCCUGAAAAUAGCGAGGGUUUCCGAGAAAAUUUUCUACCGGUGAAGGGUAAUGGGGCUUCACCGCAGAAAGAGAGAGAAUUUGAAGGAAAAGAAGGUGGGGAAGUUGAAGGGGUUGCUGCGGAGAAGAAGAGAGAGGAAAAUGGGAAAGUUGAGGAAGACGAUGCCGAGCGAGUUCCUCCAGCUAAGAAGCGCGGACGAAAGCCUCGGAACAAGGAGGCUAUCUCGGAAAGUUUGGCUAAAGGUCGAGAAAGCAGGAUGGUUCUUGAUUUGAACAGUCGGCUGAGGACUCCUGUGAGGAAGGUGGUGUACGAUGAUGAUUUGGGGUCUGAGGAAGAUGGAGAAGAUUUGGGGAAAAGUAGGCGAAAAGGCAGAGUUAAAAGGAAAACCCUAGAAAAUCAGGAGCUAGACGCUGAAAAAGGCCGAGAAAAUUGUGAGGAUAACGUGGGAGAUGAAGAAAUGCCUGCUAGUAAAAAUAGGGAAGCAAUAGAAGGCAAAGGAGGUUGGGUUUUGAAAAGUGCUGAAGGGGUUAAAGUUUAUGAGCGGGUUGGAAGGGGCAGGAAAAGAGUGAGAUUUAAUGAAGUUGAUGAUUUGGAAGUGAAUGGAGGUCUUGGAAGUGGUGGUUGUUUGGAUGGAGAAGAUGGAAAUAAUGUCCGCACAAAGGGACCGAAGAAGGGUGUGAAGAGGGGUGGUAGUAGAAAGGGAAAUGUGAAUGCGCUGCGAAACUUGGAAAAUAAUGAAAAUGGAAGGGACAAUUUUGGAGGUUAUUCGCUGAGACAUGUAAAAGUUUAUAGGGAAGAGAAACGAAAGUUAAAUAGGAAUCCAGAAGAGGCUUUAAUGUGUCAUCAAUGUCAGAGGAAUGAUAAGGGCCGGGUUAUUCGUUGUAAAACCUGUAAUAGAAGGCGGUUUUGUGUCCCUUGCAUACAAAACUGGUAUCCUGGGUUACCGGAGGAAUACUUUGCUGAGAGUUGCGCUGUAUGUCGGGGAAAUUGCAAUUGCAAAUCAUGCUUGCGGCUGGAUGUACCAGUUGUUGUAAAAAACCUGAAACUAAAUAUUGAAAAUGAUGAUGAAAUUGAGUACUCUAAAUAUUUGCUUCAAGUGCUUCUUCCAUUUUUGAAAAGACUGAAUGAAGAACAAGCCUUUGAAAGAGAGAUAGAGGCCCGCAGACAAGGGUUAUCUCCUCCAGAGCUAAAGAUACAAAAAUCAGAUUGUCCUUUUGAUGAACGUGUGUAUUGUAACAACUGCAAAACUUCUAUCUUUGAUUAUCACAGAAGCUGUCUGAGUUGCGGUGAAUAUGACCUUUGUCUUGCAUGUUGUCGGGAGAUUAGAGAUGGAAACUUGCAGGGAGGUGGUGAGGACAUUAUCAUGGAGUAUAUUAGCCGAGGCCUAGACUAUUUGCAUGGUGGAAAAGCAAUAAGAACUGACAUUCCUAGUAGCACUAGCUCUGACAAUCAAGUGAACUCUGACAAUCAAGUGAAGUCAAAAUAUGAGUUGAAAGUGAAUGAGGAUGGAAGCUUUCCUUGCCCUCGAAAGGACACAAAUGAAUGUGCUGGUGGUCUUCUAGAAUUAAGAAGCAUCAUUUCAGAAAAUAAGGUCUCAGAGUUGGUAAAGAAAGCUGAAGAAAUAUGCAAACUUAUGGAUGUCUGUGGAACAUCUGUACAGCAGUGUUCGUGUUUUAAUCCUGCAGGUGUUGUUGAUUUAAGCAGUGAUCAGUUGAGGAAAGCAGCUUCUCGAGAAGAUUCUGGUGACAACUAUUUGUACUGUCCUAGGGCCAAAGACAUCCAACAUCAGGAUUUGAAGCAUUUCCAGUGGCAUUGGAUGAGAGGUCAGCCUGUGGUUGUGAGUGAUGUGCUUCAAACGGCAUCUGGUUUAAGUUGGGAACCAUUGGUCAUGUGGCGUGCAUGUCGUCAAAUGCAACACACCAAGCAUGGUAAACACUUGGAUGUGAAGGCUAUUGACUGCUUAGAUUGGUGUGAGGGAGAUAUUAAUAUUCAUCAGUUCUUUGUUGGAUAUACAAAGGGCCGGUAUGAUAAUAAAAAUUGGCCUCAGAUACUGAAAUUAAAGGAUUGGCCCCCAUCUACUUUAUUUGAGGAGCGUUUGCCUCGUCAUGGUGCUGAGUUUAUCUCUUGCUUGCCAUUUAAAGCAUAUACACAUCCUCGUAAUGGUCAACUUAACCUUUCUGUCCACUUGCCCAAAGAAUGUCUAAAGCCAGACAUGGGGCCAAAGACAUAUAUUGCUUAUGGUAUUGCUCAGGAGCUUGGACGUGGGGAUUCUGUGACCAAGCUUCAUUGCGACAUGUCUGAUGCGGUGAAUGUUCUGACACACACUGCUGAGGUCACCCUAACACCUCAAGACCUUGCUAAUAUAGAAAAGCUGAAGAAAAAGCACUUUGAGCAAGACCAAAGAGAAAUUUAUGGAAAUGGUCAAACUGUGGAUGAAGGAUGCAAAGAGAAUCGUUAUGAUGAACCUUGUAGUCUGGCUACAAACAAUCAAAAGCACUAUAGCUGUGAAUUUGGUGAUCCGAACAAUAUUGCAGCUGCUGAAGAACUGGCUGGUCCAACUAUUCAACAGGAUGGAGAUGCUAGUGAUUCUAGUUUUGAUGAUAGACAAAUUUUGAAGGGACUCGAGCCUGUAGUGAAUCAAGAGAAAAGUGGUAAUAAUUGUGAGAUAUCAAUCAACUUUGAAAAUGGGCAGGAACGGUUGCAAGCAGCUGAAGGAGGUGCUCUUUGGGACAUUUUUCGACGAGAGGAUAUUCCAAAGCUGCAGAAGUAUCUUAUGAAGCACUUUAGGGAAUUCAGGCAUACUCAUUGUCGUCCAUUGGAACAGGUUGUUGACCCCAUACAUGAUCAGACCUUUUAUCUGACUCUAGAGCACAAAAGGAAGCUAAAGGAGGAAUAUGGAAUUGAACCAUGGACUUUCAUCCAAAAUCUGGGAGAUGCAGUCCUUAUACCUGCAGGCUGUCCUCAUCAAGUCAGAAACUUGAAGGUGAGUACCAUACUCUUCAAGCCACCUUAUGAAUUGGAAGCGAUUGCUUUGCAUGGUCACACAUAGUCGAGACCUACGUCAAAGGAAAGAGAAGUUGUUCCUUUCAUAGACAUGAACCUAAUAAAAAGACUUGAUAUAUGUGUUUGGAAAGGAGUACUUUACCUCCUUGAAAGAUGUAUUCUUGAUUCUAAGGAGGAGCGAGUGCUGAAGGAAUAUGAUGACAGAACACCGUCUGCGAGAAGGUUUAGCAUUGAUUACUUCUAAACUAGGCAAUAAUGGAGCUAUUGUAGAUUUGAGAGGAACUUCACUUUAUGAACUAGCCAACAAAGGUGGUCUUGGUGCAAUCGUUGUAAAACAUUGAGGCAUAUGAAGGAUCCAUGCUAGAAAUCUCUGGGAAAUCAUAAUUGCCUAGAAAAGGGAAAUGGUGCAAAAAUGAUGAUUUUAGCACCAGGCCCUGAAGCUAGGACUUGUGGAUGAACCUAGGACUCGGGGUUUAUUGCCAAUGGUCAUUGCCAACUGGGUUAUCCUAAAGGAAUUUGAUUGAAAUCGAUGUUUGCCAACUAUUAAAAAGGGUCAUCAUGAUGUCUUUUCCACUAAUGCGCAAAAAAUGGAGGAUUCAUGAAGGAAGAGAUAUCUAGCUACAACAUUUGUUUGCCUCAUUAGAGUAAUUAAUAUGGUGCCUCUUGCUUAAUUGGUUGCCUAGUCUCAACUUGGACAAUUUGCAACAAUAAUACCACAAGCACCAACUUGUUUAUCAAAUUUUCAAGUCUAAUCACAUGGGAAACUUCAUUUUGCUAACAGAAAAAUAGGUCAUCAUGAUAUCAUUUCUGUACCAUUUUUAUCAUGGGUCAUCCUGAUAUCAUUUUCGAGUCCAACCACGUGGGAAACUUCAUUUAGCUAAUGGAAAAAUGGGUCAUCAUGAUAUCAUUUAUGUGCCAAAACAAUGGGAGGAUUCAACAAGGAAGAGAUAGAGAAGCUACAAUGUUUGUUUGCCUCAUUAGAGUACCAUGGUGCUUCUAGCUCACUAGGUUGGCUAUUUUCAUCGUGGACAAUUUGCAGCUAUAAUAUUUCAUGCAUUAAGGUUGCUCUUGACUUCGUCUCACCUGAAAAUGUUGGUGAUUGCAUUCAUUUGACGGAAGAAUUCCGAAAGCUUCCUCCAAAUCAUAGGUCUAACGAGGACAAAUUGGAG